AGGUUUGCUUCUUUGAGACCGGCGCACGGGUGCGUAACGCGUAUGCAACCUACCUUCAUCUGGGGGAUAGCCCGGAGAAAUCCGGAUUAACACCGCAUAAAAUCACAGUAUUGCAUAAUACAAUGAUCAAAUAUUUAUAGGAUGGAGAUGGGCAUGCGUGUCAUUAGCUAGUUGGCGGGGUAACGGCCCACCAAGGCGACGAUGACUAGGGGAUCUGAGAGGAUGGCCCCCCACACUGGUACUGAGACACGGACCAGACUCCUACGGGAGGCAGCAGUAAGGAAUAUUGGUCAAUGGAGGCAACUCUGAACCAGCCAUGCCGCGUGCAGGAAGACUGCCCUAUGGGUUGUAAACUGCUUUUAUUCGGGAAUAAACCUAUUUACGUGUAAAUAGCUGAAUGUACCGAAGGAAUAAGGAUCGGCUAACUCCGUGCCAGCAGCCGCG
RNAcentral lists this ribosomal RNA (444 nucleotides) under uncultured Pedobacter sp. RNAcentral describes it as "bacterial SSU rRNA". It matches the Rfam family "Bacterial small subunit ribosomal RNA", at positions 76 to 519 of the family's 1533-position model. The record is from RNAcentral. Lineage: Bacteria; Pseudomonadati; Bacteroidota; Sphingobacteriia; Sphingobacteriales; Sphingobacteriaceae.